This 1260-nucleotide long non-coding RNA is filed under the name Gallus gallus (chicken). RNAcentral's name for it is "long non-coding RNA NONGGAT002913". The record is from RNAcentral. Lineage: Eukaryota; Metazoa; Chordata; Aves; Galliformes; Phasianidae.
UUGGCAUGGACUUAAUGGUGCCACGAGCCUCUUGUAAAUGGUUCCUUCUUAUGCGAUCAACAGGGGAAGGACUCCUGUGUACGCAAAAAGAUGUCUUUAGUUUCAGAGAUUCAUGUUUAUUGUAAUACAAAAAGAACAUUUAAGAGGCUGUGAGAUUUGAGAUUCUCCUAUUGAUGCUUUGAUACAAUUCGUGUGCAUUUUACUCCCGAUGACAAUUUUGCUCACCCCCACCCCACCCUAGUAGAUAUGCCAACAAUACUGGCCAGUAGUAUUAACUGUGCAUUGCAAUUACAGCAUCCAGCCACAAUGCAUAGUUUAUUCAUGAUGCAUCAUUAUAAUUCAAGGAUUUUAUGAGCGAGGACAACAGACUGAGGGCCCCCUGCAAUGAAUGGCAGAGAAGAUUCUGUCAUACGACGUUACUUAUUUAUCUUUUUCUGUGGUAGGAUGAUUUCUUUUACUUAAACUAAGAUGGAAGUUAUCAUUGUUCUUAUUUAAAAGGUUGCCUGGUCUGAGUCCUGUGAGCAUACGUGCCUGUUGUGUGCUUUGGGGGUGGGGGACACACAGCCCCGAGUUCAGGCAUAGCCAUCAGUCUGCCAAGGGAACUGUAAAGAGAAGAAAACAUAGCAACAAAUGAUCUGCCUAUACUGUGUGGUUUCAAGGAUUCCUUAUGCACCCAGAAGCCUUCUGCCUUGAUCCUGUGCACCCCGCAGACCUGCAGCUGCAGAGGCUUUUAGAACAGCCUGUCUUGAAGCCAGUGAGACUUGAAGACUGUGAAAACAGAAAUGGACGUCAGUUUGUAGGUUGGGACCUCACUGGGUGCUGUGGCUGGAUGGCACGUGGAGCAUCCUGAGCUGAACGUGGAAUCUAUCCAACUACUGGAAAGGAGUACCUGUUUUUGAAUUUCUUGCUGCAAAAUUGCUUGCUUUUCCUUUUUCCUUAAGUUCAGUGCUUCAGUGAUAAGACACGAGCAGCCCUACUGCACGAAACUGGCCAGAAGUAACAGCAGGCUCAUGAAUAGUGUUUGAUUAACAAAUCGGUGUAGAUGCACAUUUGAGAAACGUAUCGAUUAGUGAUCACGAGAAGUCUGAUUUCUACUUUAUUUUAAUGGCAAACAUAAUAAAGACUCUUUAAACAUGCUUGAAUGCUUCGCACUGUUGUAUGUACACCUUAAUACAACUUCUGUGUUUUUCAGUUAUGACUUUCUUCACUUCUCCUGAAGCACAGACAGUCGGGGCCAUCCGAGGUAAGGAUGUGCCCACU